Thalassophryne amazonica is the source of this 2597-nucleotide long non-coding RNA. RefSeq lists it as uncharacterized. The record is from RefSeq and is a predicted model, not a curated record. NCBI's taxonomy places the organism in Eukaryota, Metazoa, Chordata, Actinopteri, Batrachoidiformes, Batrachoididae. The transcript is spliced from 3 exons.
ACUUCUGCAGCACAGUUUCCUCAGAGAACAGCCCCAAAUCACCUGGGAAGGAAAAUAAACAUAAAACAACCCAACCAUGUCCAGCCAACCCCCCCCCCCAACACACAACAAUCACAUGUGCUCAUAUUAAUAUGGACAUCACAUAACUGAUGUGCACACCCACAGCCGUUAUUACCGGUAAUAGGCACCAGUCCACAGUGCAUCACAGACAGGCAACCCAUGAUUAUGGGACCGUGGUUCACAUACAUCAGUCCAUAUAGUGGAUCAAAGACAUAAUCCAGAGGACAGGUAAAGCAGAUUCUGUUAUCAAAGCAUCACACAGUGGACAACCCCAUCCCAACGCACGUGCUCUUGCUCUCUCUUUCCUCUUUGUUUUUCAUUUUACUCUAUUUUUUCACCCCUUCUGUUUUUUCCUCUUUGUUUCCCAUCUUACACUUUUCACUCGCUCUCCCUCAGCCUCCAGUAUAUCAGCUGUCCAGCGGCCCGCAACACACCCCUCUGUCCAGACCAGCAAGAUCAUAUGAAUGAGCUCAAUGCUUUCCCCUUGCUGGGAUGUGAGGCCAAUAUGCUGGCCACGCUGUGGUACUUGCGUGUCAUGUCAGCCAAGACGGACUGUGUGAAUGUUGUGAUCGCAUGUUACGUGGCAUGACGCGUUGUGUGCCGUCGCGCUGUCUGGUGGGAUGGCGCGCUGGACCUGACAGCAGGAUGGGAGGGGUGUUCAGCACUGGCUGCUGCAUGGUUGGUGUUCUCCCAGCUCUGUGACAUGCACCUCAAGGCGUUCCAAAGCUGGGUUUUUAUUUUUAUUUCUGUUGUAGUGGCCUAACAAUGCUGCAUGCGCCAUGAUAGCUGUAUUAAAGCUGUCACAUUCUGGUCAGCUGUUAUGUGGCAGUGUGCUAGGCCUGUGACAUGCAUCGACUCACUGUGGGCCAGUAGCACACCCCUGCAUGUCGUGUUAUAGUUGUGAUGAUCAUAAUGUCUCACAUACAUUAUGUAACCCAUGGGAGGGGAUGACAAUGUGUCUGUUAAAUUAGGUCCAUCAUGGACAUAACAGCCCGUCCAGAUGUGCGCGCUGGACAGCGAUCGCUCUGCACUCCGACCACCUUCUAGCUUUCGCCACUUCGACCAGAGCCUCAAGAAUAGUGGCUUGUGCUCUACAUUCGGGCUGGCUUUAGAGUGCUCCUCGACUUUGGCCAUGUGUGAGUUGAAUAGCCAUUUGGGUGCCAUUCAGCCUCUAGUGUGAAGGCUGACUCGGUCGGGACAUUCAGCCAGGAUUCGACGUGGCCGAACAUUUUGUACAGCCCCUGAACCGCAGUCCGAAUGGUUCGACUUACUGUACAAAUAUUGUGACUGCAGUCAGAUUGCGGUAAGGCUGCAGUUUGACCGCUGUUCAAUUGUUUUCCAACGCUAGUGCAACAAGAAUGUAGAGUGCAUGUGCUCUGGCUGCAAAAAUGUGCCAACUGCUGUGAGGCUGCUGUACAAGGCGUUUGAGUGCAGUUUGAAUUUGCACAACUGUUGUCCGAAUCCUCCUCUGUGCACUAUUCGGCCUCAUUCGUGGUAUGUGAAGGGGCCUUAAACAACAUUGGAUGCUCCUCUUAUUUAGGUAAGCAAUAACAGUUCUAUAAAAUAAAAUAGAUAAUAAAUUUUUGGAGUAUAAAUGUGAAACCAAUUAAAGUUUAUUGAAGUACAUUUUAAAUGAAAGUUGCUUAGAUAUGACUAUUGAAUGUGAUGCUGAAGUUGAUUUAUAAGCCUGAAAUUUCAGUUGGUUUUGAAGCCAAAAACCACUUCAGCACAGUGUGUUACUUGUUCGAAUUCAGUACAUAAAGUUGAAUGUUAUAUUUGUAAUUGAUUAAAUAUAGAGCAUUUACACCUGUAAACUUGCACAAAAGUCCUCAAACCUCUACAUGAGCCACCACGCCACCUUCUGAGCGAUAAAUGGACUGCAUUUAUAGAGCGCUUUUCCAUCUGCGUCAGACAAAGCGCUUUACAAAUAAUGCCUCACAUUCACCCUGAUGUCAGGGUGCUGCCAUACAUGGUGCUCACUAAACUCCGGGAGCAACUAGGGGAUUAAAGACCUUGCCUAAGGGCCCUUAGUGAUUUUCCAGUCAGGCUGGGAUUUGAACCAAGGAUCUUCUGGUCUCAAGCACAAAGUUGUCACACGUUUAUGAUAGAUUGUUUUGUCAACACGCCUUGUUGGUUUGUGUGAUUCCUGGCAGUUCUGAACCACAUGUUGCUUCGUCCUUGAUGAAAUUGUUUCCUGAUCACUAAAGGUGUAGCUUUCUGCAGAUUAACACAGCGACACCUGGUGGCUGGCUGGGGAGCAGCAUUUCAUGCAAAUGAUCUACUUUCAAUGGAUCACUUUCACCAAAAGGAAAAAAAAGUUGAUCUGUCCUGCAGGUGUGAUCAGAAACAUUUUUUUUUUUUCUCCCUGGCUCUUGGUAAUCUAGUUUUUGUUUGAUGAUAAACUCUGAAUCUCUUGCACAGGACAGAAUGUUUGGAAAUGUUUCAUUCAUAAAGCACAUAGAACACUUUUUUAUUACUGUAUAGCUGAAACACUCAAAUUAAGUUGGUGAUUACGUUCUUGCUCACACCCACACACA